UACGUAGGGGGCAAGCGUUAUCCGGAAUUACUGGGUGUAAAGGGAGCGUAGACGGUAAUGUAAGUCUGGAGUGAAAGGCGGGGGCCCAACCCCCGGACUGCUCUGGAAACUAUGUUACUAGAGUGCAGGGGAGGUAAGCGGAAUUCCUAGUGUAGCGGUGAAAUGCGUAGAUAUUAGGAGGAACACCGGUGGCGAAGGCGGCUUACUGGACUGUAACUGACGUUGAGGCUCGAAAGCGUGGGGAGCAAACAGG
This 253-nucleotide ribosomal RNA is filed under the name uncultured bacterium. Its description in RNAcentral is "partial 16S ribosomal RNA". It matches the Rfam family "Bacterial small subunit ribosomal RNA", at positions 524 to 776 of the family's 1533-position model. The record is from RNAcentral.